Molecule: unclassified non-coding RNA, 252 nt
Filed under: Hevea brasiliensis (rubber tree)
Lineage: Eukaryota; Viridiplantae; Streptophyta; Magnoliopsida; Malpighiales; Euphorbiaceae
Source: RNAcentral
GACUGUGGAACCCUUUUCUCAAGGUAACUAACUCCAUAUCCUUUUAUGAAAUCUAUGUGCUUGAAAACGAGUCCCUUGCUCAUCCAUUCUAAGCACAAUAGUCGUAACAAUUCUUUGAUUUAGCGAGGGAUACGAAAUAACUAAACUAAAAGAGCUGGCAUUAAAUGCUUCGUCUUUCAAAUCCCAGUUAUUGUAGAUAUAUAGAUAAUAGACUUAAUUUUCAUUAUUCUUUGUCUGAUAUAUAUACUCUCU